Molecule: ribosomal RNA, 207 nt
Filed under: Pichia kudriavzevii
Lineage: Eukaryota; Fungi; Ascomycota; Pichiomycetes; Pichiales; Pichiaceae
Description: 5.8S ribosomal RNA
Rfam family: 5.8S ribosomal RNA (bases 53-205)
About the family: 5.8S ribosomal RNA (5.8S rRNA) is a component of the large subunit of the eukaryotic ribosome. It is transcribed by RNA polymerase I as part of the 45S precursor that also contains 18S and 28S rRNA.
Source: RNAcentral
AUGUGGAAUAUAGCAUAUAGUCGACAAGAGAAAUCUACGAAAAAACAAACAAAACUUUCAACAACGGAUCUCUUGGUUCUCGCAUCGAUGAAGAGCGCAGCGAAAUGCGAUACCUAGUGUGAAUUGCAGCCAUCGUGAAUCAUCGAGUUCUUGAACGCACAUUGCGCCCCUCGGCAUUCCGGGGGGCAUGCCUGUUUGAGCGUCGUU